UCAAUUUAUUCUAAAAUCAUUGAAAGAUUAUCAAAGUCGACUUGUAAUAGUUAUUCCGUUAGAAAGAAGAACAAAAAAAUUACGAGAUAGAGCCAUCUUUAUUUUGACAGUCAUGGUAAGUCAUACAUGGAUUUGGCUGAGAAAAUAAACGAAUCAGCUUUUUUCUCUUUGUUGGAUGAAGAGAAAGAGAGCGUAAAAAUGUCAAAAGAUUGUACAAGUUUUGGAGACGCAGUUGAUCAAGAAGAUGAUGUAUACUCUCUGUUGUCCGUUGUUGUACUUUCAGGUGCAUCCGUUACAUCGAUUUCUCCUCCUCCAGAGACUUGAUGUGGUGCUUGUGAUUCUGAUGAAAACAAAAAACCACAGUUUUGGACCAAUUUUUAAAUAAAUAAUCAAUCUGCAAUUCCUCAUAUAGAAUUGAUUUUUUUGGUCGACCCUCUGCAAAAGAAGUUUGGAUAAUUGCUUAAAUAUAGAGUGGACCACCCUUCUCCCUUGUGAGUUGUGACUAGAUCUUGAGAAUCAAUGGACAAUGCAAAUAUGCAAGAUAUCAGAGAGGUAUAUGCUCAAGAUAUUGUUUUACGCUUGGAGUAUACAAGCAGCUUUGUAAGCUUUUGUAUAUAUAAAGGCAUUACUGAUUUUCUUGCAGAAUGACCCAAAGCGAUCAUAUGAGACGGCAUGCACAUACUCGUGUAUAUAUAAACAUGUAUGACCCAUGAUGGACGGUAGACAGAUGUGAGGGAAAAAAAAAUAGACAGCACAGUUCACAUGGACAUGACGCAAUUGCAUAUAUCCCAUGUGCCCAAUCAUUCACUCUCUUUUUAUAACAUUCCAUUUAAUCUUCCGUACUCUUAUAUAUGCAUGAUCUCACUAGCAAUUUCGUUUUAUUGUUUCUACAAUACGAUGUAGUACUUAGGGGACUUGGAUCAUGGUUCGAUGAUGAAUGCAUUUUCACAUUGGACAUGCAUGGUGAUAAACAAUGUCGUUUGAGCAAACAGAACACUGAACUACUUAAUGACGUACCGGUUGAAGAAGAUAUUGGCUCUUGGGAAGAAGGGGCAUUAGAGAAAGUAGUAGGAACCCCGAAAUUG
Molecule: long non-coding RNA, 1085 nt
Filed under: Brassica napus (rape)
Lineage: Eukaryota; Viridiplantae; Streptophyta; Magnoliopsida; Brassicales; Brassicaceae
Description: long non-coding RNA (BNAP_LNC005960)
Source: RNAcentral